This 30-nucleotide non-coding RNA is filed under the name Mus musculus (house mouse). Lineage: Eukaryota; Metazoa; Chordata; Mammalia; Rodentia; Muridae. The record is from RNAcentral.
UAAUUGGAUUUUCUGAUCAAUUAGCAGGAG